Molecule: ribosomal RNA, 805 nt
Filed under: uncultured bacterium
Lineage: Bacteria
Description: bacterial SSU rRNA
Rfam family: Bacterial small subunit ribosomal RNA
Source: RNAcentral
AGAGUUUGAUCAUGGCUCAGGACGAACGCUGGCGGCGUGCCUAAUACAUGCAAGUUGAGCGCUGAAGGUUGGUACUUGUACCGACUGGAUGAGCAGCGAACGGGUGAGUAACGCGUGGGGAAUCUGCCUUUGAGCGGGGGACAACAUUUGGAAACGAAUGCUAAUACCGCAUAAAAACUUUAAACACAAGUUUUAAGUUUGAAAGAUGCAAUUGCAUCACUCAAAGAUGAUCCCGCGUUGUAUUAGCUAGUUGGUGAGGUAAAGGCUCACCAAGGCGAUGAUACAUAGCCGACCUGAGAGGGUGAUCGGCCACAUUGGGACUGAGACACGGCCCAAACUCCUACGGGAGGCAGCAGUAGGGAAUCUUCGGCAAUGGACGAAAGUCUGACCGAGCAACGCCGCGUGAGUGAAGAAGGUUUUCGGAUCGUAAAACUCUGUUGGUAGAGAAGAACGUUGGUGAGAGUGGAAAGCUCAUCAAGUGACGGUAACUACCCAGAAAGGGACGGCUAACUACGUGCCAGCAGCCGCGGUAAUACGUGGGUCCCGAGCGUUGUCCGGAUUUAUUGGGCGUAAAGCGAGCGCAGGUGGAUUAUUAAGUCUGGUGUAAAAGGCAGUGGCUCAACCAUUGUAUGCAUUGGAAACUGGUAGACUUGAGUGCAGGAGAGGAGAGUGGAAUUCCAUGUGUAGCGGUGAAAUGCGUAGAUAUAUGGAGGAACACCGGUGGCGAAAGCGGCUCUCUGGCCUGUAACUGACACUGAGGCUCGAAAGCGUGGGGAGCAAACAGGAUUAGAUACCCUGGUAGUCC